GAUGAACGCUGGCGGCGUGCUUUAACACAUGCAAGUCGAACGAAGCACUUUUGAAACAAUCCCUCGGGUGCGUUUCUUUGUGACUUAGUGGCGGACGGGUGAGUAACGCGUGGGUAACCUGCCUCAUGCGAGGGGGAUAACAGUUGGAAACGACUGCUAAUACCGCAUGAUGUAUCGGAGGGGGCACUCCCUUUGGUACCAAAGUAUUUUAUCGCUGAAAGAUGGCCUCGCGUCUGAUUAGGUAGUUGGUGGGGUAACGGCCUACCAAGCCGACGAUCAGUAGCCGGACUGAGAGGUUGAACGGCCACAUUGGAACUGAGAAACGGUCCAGACUCCUACGGGAGGCAGCAGUGGGGAAUAUUGGGCAAUGGGCGCAAGCCUGACCCAGCGACGCCGCGUGAGGGAAGACGGUCUUCGGAUUGUAAACCUCUUUCAGCAUGGAAGAAGCAUGACGGUACAUGCAGAAGAAGCCACGGCUAACUACGUG
This 487-nucleotide ribosomal RNA is filed under the name uncultured bacterium. Its description in RNAcentral is "bacterial SSU rRNA". It matches the Rfam family "Bacterial small subunit ribosomal RNA", at positions 28 to 507 of the family's 1533-position model. The record is from RNAcentral.